Molecule: ribosomal RNA, 253 nt
Filed under: uncultured bacterium
Lineage: Bacteria
Description: partial 16S ribosomal RNA
Rfam family: Bacterial small subunit ribosomal RNA
Source: RNAcentral
UACGAAGGGGGCUAGCGUUGCUCGGAAUUACUGGGCGUAAAGGGCGCGUAGGCGGGUCGUUAAGUUGGGGGUGAAAGCCCAGGGCUCAACCCUGGAAUUGCCUUCAAUACUGGCGACCUUGAGUAUGGCAGAGGUGUGUGGAACUCCGAGUGUAGAGGUGAAAUUCGUAGAUAUUCGGAAGAACACCAGUGGCGAAGGCGACACACUGGGCCAUUACUGACGCUGAGGAGCGAAAGCGUGGGGAGCGAACAGG